This 269-nucleotide ribosomal RNA is filed under the name uncultured bacterium. RNAcentral's name for it is "partial 16S ribosomal RNA". It matches the Rfam family "Bacterial small subunit ribosomal RNA", at positions 8 to 272 of the family's 1533-position model. The record is from RNAcentral.
AGAGUUUGAUCCUGGCUCAGGAUGAACGCUAGCGACAGGCUUAACACAUGCAAGUCGAGGGCCAGCGGGGAGUAGCAAUACUUCGCCGGCGACCGGCGCACGGGUGAGUAACACGUGUGCAACCAACACCGUACCGGGAGAUAACCCGCGGAAACGUGGACUAACAUCCCAUAAUACUGGAGGAUCGCAUGAUCUUUCAUUUAAAAUUCCGGUGGUACGGGACGGGCACGCGCGACAUUAGGUAGUUGGCGGGGUAAGGGCCCACCAAG